RNAcentral lists this long non-coding RNA (4082 nucleotides) under Theobroma cacao (cacao). RNAcentral describes it as "long non-coding RNA (TCAC_LNC002510)". The record is from RNAcentral. Lineage: Eukaryota; Viridiplantae; Streptophyta; Magnoliopsida; Malvales; Malvaceae.
GCCAAAGCAAGAACAAAGGAAGAAAAAGGAAGAACAAGAACCCUAGGGUAAAAAUUCAAGAGAAAAUUGGUGGAUUUCAAGUAAUCAAGCAAUCAAAGGUAAAAUUUCUUGAUUUUCACUUGUGAUCUACCUUUCCCAUGCAUUUUUUUGCAUUUUCCAUGGUUGAAUCACAAGAUACCAUGAAGGAUAGUGUGCUGAUCAAACCCUAGGAGAGAGGUUUUGAUACUUAAUUUGGUUAGAUUUCAAUGUGUUUCAGUGUUUUUAGCUGACUGGUGAUGUGUAGCAUGAAAGUCAAGCAAGAAAAAUUCAUGUUCUCGCAUCACCCAUCAUUGGCCGAAUUCUCCAUGUAGAAUAUUGAUGAUGAUUUUGUUUUUAUUUCAAGUGAUUUGGUUAGGAAUUAGUGAUUUAUGGUGUGAGAAUCAAGUAGGAAAAAUUAUAGUGUUGAUGCACCCACCAUGGCCGAAUUUUCCAAGAGAAAAUGUAAGGAUGAUUUUGCCAUAUUUCAAGUUAUUUAAUUUGUGUUUGAUGAUUUGGAGUAUUGGGAGAAAAAUGAAAUUAUUGGAGUUGAAUUGGACGUAUUGGCCAAUUAAUCGAGUGAUAGAUUGACUUAGGCCAAUACCGUUUAAUUGAGGUACACAAUUGAAUUUAUGUAGAACACCAUGUUUAGACAAUAAUCCGAACAAUUUGCGUCCCAUUUCAUACAUUAGUAUAAAGCUUGAGUUGGUUUUAUAACAAUUUAGCACAAUGUAGUAAAUGGCUUAUUGUGCAUUAUGUCUAGGUGGUGAGCAUUCUGGCAAAAGUAAAGAGAUAGUACCUGAGGAUCAAGAAUCGGAGUACUUGGAAUUCGACUCCCAAAAUAGUGAGUAACCUUAUCAUCAUUGUAAUUAUCUAAACUACGUUUUAUUCGAUUUUGUGAAUUUUAUGAAAAAUGAAUUAAAUGAUUAAUUUUUUGAUUUUAUAAACAAAAUGUGAUUUAAUGAAAUGAUUUCAUAAAAUUGUUUUAAAAUUGAAUGAUGGUUUGAAAAUAGAGUAAUUGGAGACUGUUUUUGUGUGUUGCAAAUUCAUGAUUCGAAUUGAUUGGCUUAUGGCAAUAUUGUCAUGAAUGGUUGAUUUGAUAAAUGUGUUGGAAAUGUAUAAAUAGUUGAUUUGCCUUAAAAGGCCAUAAAAUAAAAUAAAAUAAUUGCCAUGUCAUGGUAUUACAAAUUUUAUUGUAUGGUGGGUUUAGUUUGCUGCAGUGGGCGGGUUUUCUGUGGACCAGCCUAUUAGAGGGGCAUGGAAUCCCGUUAUAUUUUACCUCGGUUGGAGAGGUGAGUAAGGUAACUCCUGAUGUAUAACUUUUAGAGUUCACUUCACACCAAACCACCACGUGAGGGUGAACUCAGCCAACGCUAAGAAAUGGCUAUAUUUUCAAAAUAAAAACAUGAUUUAUACAUACAUAACUUUUUAACAGCCUUGGCAGACUCGGUUGGGAUAGCCUUCGAUCAAGGUAUCCCUAAUAACUAAGUAUGAGAAUGAUUUUGGCACAAGCCAAAGUUUUAAGAAAUUCAUAAGCCAUGUUGAUUACUCGAUUUAUAUAAAUUGAUUUUAUUUGGUUGAAACAAGUUGAAAGGUGAUGAAUUACAGUAUGUUAAACUAUUUUAUCUGUCUCCAUUUACUUGGCUUUAGAUAUUUUAGAUGGUAUUUGUUUACUCACUAGGAUUAUAUAAUCUUACCACCCUCCUUUCCACUCAUUUCAGGCUCAGAAUAGGCUGUAGAUAGCUGAUUUUAUCGAGGCUACCAUUGGAUUUGCAUUCUCCAAACUGUAGGUUCACAGUCUUCAUUACUUUUAGUUAUUCGGGAGCCCACUGGUUAUUGUAAAUUAAAUUAAAUAUUUUGGCUUACUGCAUUGCAGUAUGUAUGAAUUUACUUUGCUUUUACGCUGCUACAAAAAAAUUAUUUACAUAUAACUCUAAAAAUAUUAUUUUAUAAAAAAAUAAAAUAUUUUAUUAAAUAUUUCUUUUAUUAUUUAUUAUAUCCAAAUAAUCAUAAUUUCAUUUUAAAUGAAGGUUUUAGUUGUUUAAACUUAUUUUUGAUUAUGAAUUAUGUGUUUUGUACUGGCAUACUACAUUUUUAACGGAUUUCGAGAUUUUUGAGAAAAAAUGACCAAAAUGCCUUUGUGAGAAAAAAAUUGUUUUUCUAUUGUUUUGAUUUAAAAAUAGUUUAUGAUCUCUCAAAACAUAAUUUUAGUGACUAAUACUCAUAGGGGAAGUGAGAAAAAUUAACGUUAAGCCUUACGAGGUUUCGAUUGACAUUCCGGGUAAUGAAUGUCUAUCGGGACGUCGCGGCGGUUGUCAUGAGCUCAAUCGGAGUUCCGAGUCGUGACAAAAACCUUUAAGCAUUUUGAGCAUUUUGGAGGGGUUUUUGAUACAUGAAGAAAAACAUUUGAGCGUUAGAGCGUUUUAAGUAUUUUUGAGUGGCUUUUCAUAAAUGAAGAAAAACCUUUGAGCAUUUUGAGCAUUCUUCACCAAGUAGGCAUAUUUGUUGAUUAUAUUGUUAAAGGAAUAUGGUGUGUUUUUUGAAGUUGUUGAUUUUGUUAAAUGGAAUUAAGUAGUUUCGGGGGUUUUUUAAGUAUUACGUUAUCAAUUUUUGAGAAUUGCGUGACUAGUUUUUAGGCAUUGCGUGACUAAUAUUUAGGUAUUACGUGACUAAUUGAUAUGGCAUUGCGUGACUAGUUAGUAAGGCAUUGCGUGAUUGGUUAGUAAGGCAUUGCAUGACUAGUUAGUAAGGCAUUGUGUGACUAGUUUUUAGGCAUCGUGUGACUUAGGCAUUACCUAAAAAUCAAUCACGUAAUGUCUAAAAACUAGUCACAUAAUGCCUAAGAACCAAAAGGCAAUGAUUAAGUCACGCAAUGCCUAAAAACUAGUCUCACAAUAUCUAAAAACUAGUGACAUAAUGUCUAAAAACUAGUAAUGCAAUACGUAAUAACUAAUUGAUUUGGUUGCUUCAGCCAAGUUUAAGUUACGAAAGUCAUACAGUGUUUUAAUUUACAGAUAUGUCUAAUCAAUUUCAACCCUUUAACUUUGGGGUUCUAUGAAUAUAAACCAAUAAACCCAAGAACCUAAAACACAUACCUUGAUGUCAUUUCUGCUCUUUGGGAUAAUGAGAAAGAGCUGGAUGGCGAGAUAGAUAGUAUUUGGCAAAUGAGAGAAAUUACGAUUUAAUUUUGAAAUUUUUGUUUGGAUGGCGGGAUAGAGAAAAUUGAAACCAUUUUAAUUUGUCUGAAAUUGCUUAAAGGGUGUUGGUAGGUGGGUGAUAACUCUAUGAUAUAGAGUUAUUUGAGCUUAAUUUUAAUAGUAAUUUAGCUUAGUUCUUAUAGUAAUGCAUAAAAAUUAAUAAAUUUUAUUUAAUUAUUUUAAAUUAGUUAAUUUAGGUGAGUCAACCUAAUCAUAGUUAAUUUUAUGCUUAACCGGUGUUAAUGUGAUUAAGAUAGGUUGUUAUUAAUUUAUUUGUGCUUUUGUAGGUGUUUAAUGAAUGAAGAAUUUUAAUGGAAAAAGGAGAGCAAUUUUGAGGUGCAGACUUUCACUGCAUAUGUUUUGGUAUUUUGACCAUAACUUUCUUUACAGAUAUUCAAAUGAAGUGAUUAUUGAACCAUUGGAAAGAUAAGAAACAAAGAUACAACUUUCAUGUUUAUCACUUUGCCCAAUUUGGCAUGUAAGAUGGUCAAAAAUCUUGUCAAAAUUGACAUACUGCAGCAGUCCUAGAGCAAUUAUGAUUUCUGUUAAUUAAUUGGACAAGGCUACGACCCACAUAAUCUGAUAAACAAAUUCCAGCUGAAAUUGACUUCUUUCUUCACCUAACUUUGGUUAAUUUCAAAGCCUUAUAAAAACAACCUUUUGGAGGAGAAGAGAAGAGAACAAAUCACUAGAUUAAAAGUUAAGAGUCCAACCGUAAAGUCAUUAAAGGUGAGAAGAAUGUGAAGGAUUUAAGAAAACUUGGAAGAUCAAGAUUAUAAUUUUUGAGUUUUAUCUUUUUUAUUAUUCUUUUAUUUUCUUAGUUUGUUUUUAUUGUUUAAACUUUAUUCAAUGAUGAUGUGUGACUUGAUG